CAGCACAAGCUGCUCUGCUCCUCUCUCUCCUCCUCUGCUGGAAUUAUCUGAGUUUGUUGAGAGUGAACACUGACUCUCGUGUGGCUCAAACACAGGGAGAAACCGACGCUUCACUUCACUUCACUGCCUCCACGGUCGUGUUAAUCAGCAGCUGGAGGGCAGAGAGUGGAGGGGCUGCAGGGGGCGGACACCAGACCCAGAUGGACCCCGAACAUGAUGCACAGCGGUGACACGACAUUCAGCUGUCCGACUUUAGGGAAGUUUCACGUCGCACACACACACACACACACACACACACACACACCGUCGAGAAGAAGAAGAAGAAGAAGAAGAAGAAACAGAUGUUUUUACGACCUCCCUGGGGUCAUG
Molecule: long non-coding RNA, 369 nt
Organism: Solea solea (common sole)
Lineage: Eukaryota; Metazoa; Chordata; Actinopteri; Pleuronectiformes; Soleidae
Exons: 3
Source: RefSeq, a predicted model, not a curated record